GAUGAACGCUGGCGGCGUGCCUAAUACAUGCAAGUCGAGCGAACGGACGAGAAGCUUGCUUCUCUGAUGUUAGCGGCGGACGGGUGAGUAACACGUGGAUAACCUACCUAUAAGACUGGGAUAACUUCGGGAAACCGGAGCUAGCACCGGAUAAUAUUUUGAACCGCAUGGUUCAAAAGUGAAAGACGGUCUUGCUGUCACUUAUAGAUGGAUCCGCGCUGCAUUAGCUAGUUGGUAAGGUAACGGCUUACCAAGGCAACGAUGCAUAGCCGACCUGAGAGGGUGAUCGGCCACACUGGAACUGAGACACGGUCCAGACUCCUACGGGAGGCAGCAGUAGGGAAUCUUCCGCAAUGGGCGAAAGCCUGACGGAGCAACGCCGCGUGAGUGAUGAAGGUCUUCGGAUCGUAAAACUCUGUUAUUAGGGAAGAACAUAUGUGUAAGUAACUGUGCACAUCUUGACGGUACCUAAUCAGAAAGCCACGGCUAACUACGUG
RNAcentral lists this ribosomal RNA (497 nucleotides) under uncultured bacterium. Its description in RNAcentral is "partial 16S ribosomal RNA". It matches the Rfam family "Bacterial small subunit ribosomal RNA", at positions 28 to 507 of the family's 1533-position model. The record is from RNAcentral.